RNAcentral lists this ribosomal RNA (253 nucleotides) under uncultured bacterium. RNAcentral describes it as "partial 16S ribosomal RNA". It matches the Rfam family "Bacterial small subunit ribosomal RNA", at positions 524 to 776 of the family's 1533-position model. The record is from RNAcentral.
GCCGGAGGAUGCAAUCGUUAUCCGGAAUUAUUGGGCGUAAAGCGUCCGUAGGUGGCAUAUCAAGUCUGCUGUUAAAUCCCAGGGCUCAACUCUGGAUCAGCAGUGGAAACUGAUAAGCUAGAGUGCGGUAGGGGCAGAGGGAAUUCCCGGUGUAGCGGUGAAAUGCGUAGAUAUCGGGAAGAACACCAGUGGCGAAGGCGCUCUGCUGGGCCGUAACUGACACUCAUGGACGAAAGCUAGGGGAGAGAAAGGG